RNAcentral lists this ribosomal RNA (2911 nucleotides) under human gut metagenome. RNAcentral describes it as "bacterial LSU rRNA". It matches the Rfam family "Bacterial large subunit ribosomal RNA". The record is from RNAcentral.
UUAAGCUACAAAGGGCAUAUGGUGGAUGCCUAGGCGUUCCGAGCCGAUGAAGGACGCGAUAAGCUGCGAUAAGUCAUGGGGAGCCGCAAGUAGGCUUUGAUCCAUGAAUUUCCAAAUGGGGCAACCCGGUACGAGUCAUGUCGUACCAUCCGAAAGGAAGGCACACCCGGUGAACUGAAACAUCUAAGUAGCCGGAGGAAGAGUAAUCAAACGAGAUUCCCUCAGUAGCGGCGAGCGAACAGGGAAGAGCCCAAACCGGACGUCUUCGGACGACCGGGGUUGAGGACCAGCAUCAAGGGAAGGCAAGAUAGCCGAACAGUCUGGGAAGGCUGAGCACAGACGGUGAAACUCCGGUAGGCGAAAUCUUGCUGAGCGGGCUGGUAUCCAGAGUACCACGAGACACGUGAAACCUUGUGGGAAACAGGGUGGACCACCAUCCAAGGCAAAAUACUACGGAACGACCGAUAGCGCAUAGUACCGUGAGGGAAAGGUGAAAAGAACCGCGGGAGCGGAGUGAAAUAGAACCUGAAACCGUAUGUCUACAAGCAGUCGAAGCACUUUAUAUGUGCGACGGCGUGCCUAUUGAAGAAUGAACCGGCGAGUUAAUUUCAGAGGCGAGGUUAAGCGGGAGACGCGGAGCCGAAGCGAGAGCGAGUCUGAAUAGGGCGGAAGUCUCUGGGAUUAGACCCGAAACCACAGUGAUCUAUGCAUGGCCAGGUUGAAGCUCAGGUAAAAAUGAGUGGAGGACCGAACCCGUGAGUGUUGAAAAACUUUGGGAUGAGCUGUGCAUAGGGGUGAAAUGCCAAUCGAACGUGGAGAUAGCUGGUUCUCCCCGAAAUAGCUUUAGGGCUAGCCUCAGGUAACACAUGGAGACGGUAGAGCACUGAUCGGGUAAGGGAGCGUAAAGCUUACCGAGCCUAGUCAAACUGCGAAUGGCUUCAUGAGAAGAGCCUGGGAGUCAGAAUGCGAGUGAUAAGACCCGUAUUCAAAAGGGAAACAGCCCAGACCGCCGACUAAGGUCCCGAAUGCUGUACUAAGUGGAAAAGGAUGUAGGACUUCCAAAACAACCAGGAUGUUGGCUCAGAAGCAGCCACCAUUCAAAGAGUGCGUAAUAGCUCACUGGUCGAGAGGCCCUGCGCCGAAAAUAUCCGGGGCUCAAGUACAGAACCGAAGUCGCGGGAUGCGCAAGCAUCGGUAGGGGAGCGUUCCAAGCAGGUUGAAGGCAGACCGGAAGGACGGCUGGACAGCUUGGAAGUGAGAAUGCUGGUAUGAGUAGCGAAACGAUCCGUGAGAAUCGGAUCCACCGAAAGCCUAAGGGAUCCUGAGCAACGCUCGUCGUCUCAGGGUAAGUCGGGACCUAAGCCGAGGCAUAAAGCAUAGGCGAUGGACAACAGGCGAAAAUUCCUGUACUGCAUGAUGUUGUUUGAGGAUGGAGUGACACAGCAAGGAGCUUGAGCGCGCGAUUGGAAAUGCGCGUCGAAGGCGGUAGGCUGGUACAGAGGCAAAUCCCUGUACUAAGGCCGAGAACUGAUAGAUAGACAAUCCCUUCGGGGAGCGUCAAAUUCAAGCGUACUACACUGUCGAGAAAAGCUUCUAACGAGACAUCAUGUACCCGUACCAAAACCGACACAGGUAGGCGGGGAGAGAAUCCUAAGGUGCGCGGGAAAACCCUCGUUAAGGAACUCGGCAAAAUGCAUCCGUAACUUCGGGAGAAGGAUGGCCGGAGCUGGUGAAGACCUUCGCGGUUGGAGCUGGAGCCGGCGGCAGAAGAGAAGCCCAAGCGACUGUUUACCACAAACACAGGUGCCUGCUAAAGAGAAAUCUGACGUAUAGGUGCUGACACCUGCCCGGUGCUGGAAGGUUAAGAGGAGAGGUUAUUCGCAAGAAGAAGCUUUGAAUUGAAGCCCCAGUAAACGGCGGCCGUAACUAUAACGGUCCUAAGGUAGCGAAAUUCCUUGUCGGGUAAGUUCCGACCCGCACGAAAGGUGUAACGACUUGGGCACUGUCUCAACGAGGGACCCGGUGAAAUUGAAAUACCUGUGAAGAUGCAGGUUACCCGCGACUGGACAGAAAGACCCCAUGGAGCUUUACUGCAGCCUGACAUUGAUUUUUGGCAUGUAACGUACAGGAUAGUUGGGAGACGGAGAAGGCAGCCCCCCAGGGUUGCCGGAGUCGCUGUUGGGAUACCAACCUUUAUGUGCUAGGGAUCUAACUCGAGAAGUAACGAAGCUGAGGACAGUAUCAGGUGGGCAGUUUGACUGGGGCGGUCGCCUCCGAAAGAGUAACGGAGGCGUCCAAAGGUUCCCUCAGCGCGGACAGAAAUCGCGCGAAGAGUAUAAAGGCAGAAGGGAGCUUGACUGCGAGACAUACAGGUCGAGCAGGUACGAAAGUAGGGCUUAGUGAUCCGGUGGAAUGAGAGUGGAAUUGCCAUCGCUCAACGGAUAAAAGCUACCCUGGGGAUAACAGGCUAAUCUCUCCCAAGAGUCCAUAUCGACGGGGAGGUUUGGCACCUCGAUGUCGGCUCAUCACAUCCUGGGGCUGAAGCAGGUCCCAAGGGUUGGGCUGUUCGCCCAUUAAAGUGGUACGUGAGCUGGGUUCAGAACGUCGUGAGACAGUUCGGUCCAUAUCCAUCGCGGGCGUAAGAUACAUGAGGGAGACUGCUCCUAGUACGAGAGGACCGGAGUGGACGGACCGCCGGUGUACCAGUUGUUUCGCCAGAAGCACAGCUGGGUAGCUGCGUCCGGAAGGGAUAAACGCUGAAAGCAUCUAAGCGUGAAGCCCGUCCCGAGAUGAAGUAUCUCAUAGCACAAGCUAGUAAGACACCUUGAAGAAGACAAGGUUGAUAGGGUAGAUGUGGGAGUGCCGCAAGGCAUGAAGCUGACUACUACUAAUAUGUCGAGGGCUUAACUAG